GCCGGCGUGGUGAAAUGGCAGACACGGUAGACUCAAAAUCUACUGCCCGCAAGGGCAUGACGGUUCAAGUCCGUCCGCCGGCA
This 83-nucleotide transfer RNA is filed under the name Spirochaetaceae bacterium. Its description in RNAcentral is "tRNA-Leu". It matches the Rfam family "tRNA". Rfam says of the family: Transfer RNA (tRNA) molecules are approximately 80 nucleotides in length. The record is from RNAcentral. Lineage: Bacteria; Pseudomonadati; Spirochaetota; Spirochaetia; Spirochaetales; Spirochaetaceae.